AUACGUAGGUGGCAAGCGUUGUCCGGAAUUACUGGGUGUAAAGGGCGUGUAGGCGGGAAUGUAAGUCAGAUGUGAAAUCCCAGAGCUUAACUCUGGAGCUGCAUCUGAAACUAUGUUUCUUGAGUGCCGGAGAGGAAAGCGGAAUUCCUAGUGUAGCGGUGAAAUGCGUAGAUAUUAGGAAGAACACCGGUGGCGAAGGCGCUUCUCUGGACUGUAACUGACGCUGAGGCUCGAAAGCGUGGGGAGC
This 247-nucleotide ribosomal RNA is filed under the name uncultured bacterium. Its description in RNAcentral is "partial 16S ribosomal RNA". It matches the Rfam family "Bacterial small subunit ribosomal RNA", at positions 523 to 769 of the family's 1533-position model. The record is from RNAcentral.